RNAcentral lists this ribosomal RNA (500 nucleotides) under uncultured bacterium. Its description in RNAcentral is "partial 16S ribosomal RNA". It matches the Rfam family "Bacterial small subunit ribosomal RNA", at positions 30 to 523 of the family's 1533-position model. The record is from RNAcentral.
AUUGAACGCUGGCGGAAUGCUUUACACAUGCAAGUCGAACGGCAGCACGGACUUCGGUCUGGUGGCGAGUGGCGAACGGGUGAGUAAUGUAUCGGAACGUGCCCAGUCGUGGGGGAUAACGUAGUGAAAAUUACGCUAAUACCGCAUACGAUCUAUGGAUGAAAGCGGGGGAUCGCAAGACCUCGCGCGAUUGGAGCGGCCGAUAUCAGAUUAGGUAGUUGGUGGGGUAAAGGCCCACCAAGCCAACGAUCUGUAGCUGGUCUGAGAGGACGACCAGCCACACUGGAACUGAGAGACGGUCCAGACUCCUACGGGAGGCAGCAGUGGGGAAUUUUGGACAAUGGGUGAAAGCCUGAUCCAGCCAUUCCGCGUGCAGGAUGAAGGCCCUCGGGUUGUAAACUGCUUUUGUACAGAACGAAAAGGUUUCUACUAAUACUAGGAGCUCAUGACGGUACUGUAAGAAUAAGCACCGGCCAACUACGUGCCAGCCGCCGCAGUAA